Non-coding RNA from Caenorhabditis elegans, 149 nucleotides. NCBI's taxonomy places the organism in Eukaryota, Metazoa, Nematoda, Chromadorea, Rhabditida, Rhabditidae. The record is from Ensembl.
AACUAACCAUCAUGCUUUGGCUGCUCGUAAUAGUUUUGUUGGUGUGAUCCUCCGUAGUAUGGGGUGUAUUGGUUGUACUUGGUGUAGUAGUCAUUGUGUCCUCCAUGAUACUUUGGCAUGUACGAGUGAUAGUAAGAGGCAAUUGGAUU